This 260-nucleotide long non-coding RNA is filed under the name Chinchilla lanigera (long-tailed chinchilla). RNAcentral describes it as "lncRNA (ENSCLAG00000028345.1)". The record is from RNAcentral. Lineage: Eukaryota; Metazoa; Chordata; Mammalia; Rodentia; Chinchillidae.
GCAAAAUAUGGAUUUCCUGAGCUGAAGUCACUGGCAUGUUCCCAAGGCCCAUGAGACCCUGAUGAACCUGACUUGUGAGCAAGGGCAACAGCUUCCUCCUCCAAGAGCUGGAUGCAACAGCUGCAGCCUGGUGAUGGGAAAAGAACAAGGGAAGGAGUCUGGAGGCCCAGAUUCAAGUCAUCACACAGCCCAUCACUAGCUGCAUGGCGCCUGGCAAGACAGUGAGUCUCUCUGGUUCUGUUUCCUUACCUGCAAAAUGG